RNAcentral lists this ribosomal RNA (253 nucleotides) under uncultured bacterium. RNAcentral describes it as "partial 16S ribosomal RNA". It matches the Rfam family "Bacterial small subunit ribosomal RNA", at positions 524 to 776 of the family's 1533-position model. The record is from RNAcentral.
UACAGAGGUCUCGAGCGUUGAUCGGAAUUAUUGGGCGUAAAGGGCUCGUAGGCGGUCUGUUGCGUCGGGAGUGAAAACUCAGGGCUUAACCCUGAGCCUGCUUCCGAUACGGGCAGACUAGAGGUAUGCAGGGGAGAACGGAAUUCCUGGUGUAGCGGUGAAAUGCGCAGAUAUCAGGAGGAACACCGGUGGCGAAGGCGGUUCUCUGGGCAUUACCUGACGCUGAGGAGCGAAAGUGUGGGGAGCGAACAGG